RNAcentral lists this ribosomal RNA (1482 nucleotides) under uncultured prokaryote. RNAcentral's name for it is "partial 16S ribosomal RNA". It matches the Rfam family "Bacterial small subunit ribosomal RNA". The record is from RNAcentral.
GAGUUUGAUCCUGGCUCAGGAUGAACGCUAGCGGCAGGCUUAACACAUGCAAGUCGAGGGGGAACAGGGAGGAGCUUGCUUUUCCGCUGACGACCGGCGCACGGGGGCGUAACGCGUAUAGAACCUUUUACAGGGGAAUAGCCCAGAGAAAUUUGGAUUAAUGCCCCAUAGUAUUAUUGAAUGGCAUCAUUUAAUAAUUAAACAUUUAUGGGUAAAAGAUGGCUAUGCGUUCUAUUAGCUAGAUGGUAAGGUAACGGCUUACCAUGGCAACGAUAGAUAGGGGUCCUGAGAGGGAGAUCCCCCACACUGGUACUGAGACACGGACCAGACUCCUACGGGAGGCAGCAGUGAGGAAUAUUGGGCAAUGGAGGCAACUCUGACCCAGCCAUGCCGCGUGCAGGAAGACUGCCCUAUGGGUUGUAAACUGCUUUUAUACAGGAAGAAACACUCCCUCGUGAGGGAGCUUGACGGUACUGUAAGAAUAAGGAUCGGCUAACUCCGUGCCAGCAGCCGCGGUAAUACGGAGGAUCCACGCGUUAUCCGGAAUCAUUGGGUUUAAAGGGUCCGUAGGUGGAUAAUUUAGUCAGAGGUGAAAUCCUGCAGCUCAACUGUAGAAUUGCCUUUGAUACUGGUUAUCUUGAGUUAUUAUGAAGUAGUUAGAAUAUGUAGUGUAGCGGUGAAAUGCAUAGAUAUUACAUAGAAUACCAAUUGCGAAGGCAGAUUACUAAUAAUACACUGACACUGAGGGACGAAAGCGUGGGUAGCGAACAGGAUUAGAUACCCUGGUAGUCCACGCCGUAAACGAUGGAUACUAGCUGUUCGGAUUUAUCUGAGUGGCUAAGCGAAAGUGAUAAGUAUCCCACCUGGGGAGUACGUUCGCAAGAAUGAAACUCAAAGGAAUUGACGGGGGCCCGCACAAGCGGUGGAGCAUGUGGUUUAAUUCGAUGAUACGCGAGGAACCUUACCAGGGCUUAAAUGUAGUGGGACAGGGGUGGAAACACUCUUUUCUUCGGACUCAUUACAAGGUGCUGCAUGGUUGUCGUCAGCUCGUGCCGUGAGGUGUCAGGUUAAGUCCUAUAACGAGCGCAACCCCUAUCGUUAGUUGCUAGCAGGUCAUGCUGAGGACUCUAACGAGACUGCCGGUGCAAACCGUGAGGAAGGUGGGGAUGACGUCAAAUCAUCACGGCCCUUACGUCCUGGGCUACACACGUGCUACAAUGGCCGGUACAGAGAGCAGCCAUGCCGCAAGGCAGAGCGAAUCUACAAAACCGGUCACAGUUCGGAUCGGGGUCUGCAACUCGACCCCGUGAAGCUGGAAUCGCUAGUAAUCGGAUAUCAGCCAUGAUCCGGUGAAUACGUUCCCGGGCCUUGUACACACCGCCCGUCAAGCCAUGGAAGCUGGGAGUAUCUGAACUCGGUCACCGCAAGGAGCCGCCUAGGGUAAAACUGGUAACUAGGGCUAAGUCGUAACAAGGUAGCCGU